CAGCCGCCGCGGGAAUACGAAGGGUGCAAGCGUUACUCGGAAUUACUGGGCGUAAGGCGUGCGUAGGUGGUGGUUUAAGUCCGUUGUGAAAGCCCUUGGCUCAACCUGGGAAUUGCAGUGGAUACUGGGUCACUAGAGUGUGGUAGAGGAUAGUGGAAUUUCCGGUGUAGCAGUGAAAUGCGUAGAGAUCGGAAGGAACAUCUGUGGCGAAGGCGACUAUCUGGGCCAACACUGACACUGAGGCACGAAAGCGUGGGGAGCAAACAGGAUUAGAUACCCCGGUAGUCCCUGUCUCUUAUAC
This 301-nucleotide ribosomal RNA is filed under the name uncultured bacterium. RNAcentral describes it as "partial 16S ribosomal RNA". It matches the Rfam family "Bacterial small subunit ribosomal RNA", at positions 509 to 807 of the family's 1533-position model. The record is from RNAcentral.